UUGCCAACCUUCCUAAAUCUGAAAUGGAUGCAAAAAUCUAACUGAUUCUGAUCUGAUGGUUAUCCACGUUGAAAAUAUCUCUUUUAACUCAAAAAUAUCUCUAAAAAGUAAAAUAAAUAGAAAAACUGUAACCAUUGAGGAGUUAGAAGAUAGAUUAGAUGAUUAUAGUAUAGAACUUAAAAUAAAAACUUCAUUCGAUUCUCUAAGAAA
Molecule: long non-coding RNA, 210 nt
Filed under: Elaeis guineensis (African oil palm)
Lineage: Eukaryota; Viridiplantae; Streptophyta; Magnoliopsida; Arecales; Arecaceae
Description: long non-coding RNA (EGUI_LNC059741)
Source: RNAcentral